RNAcentral lists this long non-coding RNA (904 nucleotides) under Nicotiana tabacum (common tobacco). RNAcentral's name for it is "long non-coding RNA (NTAB_LNC000717)". The record is from RNAcentral. Lineage: Eukaryota; Viridiplantae; Streptophyta; Magnoliopsida; Solanales; Solanaceae.
GAGGAGGAGAAUAGACAGCACACAUAGGAGGUGGAGGGGGGAGGAGGUGGUGGUGAUGGUGUGGAAACCCCAAAAGUAGCCAAUCUUGGUACAGUAGAUGCAUAUAUAGGUGGAGGUGGAGGAGGUGGAGGCGGCAAUGAACUAGAUACUACUUCUGAGGAAGUUCCACACCCUCCACUUGACCAAAGGGGUGGUUGGGGGGGUGGCAAGAAGACCCUACCAACAUUUAAUACACUGGAUGAUGUGGGCGGAGGUGGAGGAGGAGGUGGUGGUGGUGGGAUAGGAGAAAAGUCAGCCAUCGGAGUCAUCCUCAAGCUAGUUGAUGGCGGAGGUGGAGGGGGUGGGGGAGGUGGAGGAGGAGGUGAAAAAGACUGGACAUUACUUGAAAGAGACAGAGAUGGCGUGCUCAGAGGUGGCGGGGGAGGCACGGUCGGAGCUGGUGGAGAAUUGGAGGCUGGCAGAGUAAAAGAAGCUGUCAAAAUAUUGCUUUCCAGCAGAGACAAAAGUGGAGUUGCAGAAGCUGAUGAUGAAUUAGUUCCUGCUACUUCAGCAUCAGGCGUUUCAUGAGAUGAAGUGCUUGGCGGUCGAGAAGAUGGAUGAAGCUGCAGGGCCUGCCUGUCAGCUAAUUCAGGAGCAGAGAUUGUAGCAGGACAUGAGGAGUCUUUACCUGGAACACACCCUGCUUCAGCAGAAACUAUAGCUUCUGAAGAAGCUCGAGGAGAUGGUGACUUUGAUUUAACCCCAGACUGAGAAUCUUUGGUGAGAGCAAGCACAGGAGGAGCACUGUUAUACCUUGAUGGUGGAUAUGCUACAUGCAUUGAAUUAGUGUAAGAACCUUUGUUAGGAGGGAUCCACCGGGACACUGCAUUUGGCUUUGCCUGUCGUGAAACAGUGCCCUGGGGUU